GUUCAUAGUUUUUUUUUCUUUUUUUUUUUCCUUUCUGGGGUCUUUGAUUCUAGGAAUUGAAGUUGCCCUCGAAUUAUGAAGUUCUUCUUCGGAAAGUAUUUGAUGAUUGUACUAAGAGAGUUUGGCUGCAUAAAAGAAUGGGUGGUGUUUGUUUGUCCAUUGCUUCAAAAGGGUUACCAAUCACCGGGAUAGGUGAUUGAAGAUAUUGGAAUCAUAUCCCAACUGAAGAAUCUAGGUUUCAUCAAACUCCUGACAAAUUCGGUACUAUGACUAUUUUUUACGGUGAUAUUUUGGAUUCGCUUAAUUUUCAGGUGGCUUAUUAGAAAUAAGCUCUCAAAGAUUAAGAACAAAUGUCUGAUCAUAAUAUUAUUUACAACAAACCCUUGAUGAAUAUCCUCCUCAAUGUAUUGACUCGACUUUGAAGAUUAGUCCCAAAUGUUUAGACAAUGAUGUUAUACCAACUCAUUUGGAUAUAUUUGCACUAUUUUCUAAAUGAUUUCCAUUGUAAUAAAUUGUUCUUAUUUGUUUCCCCUUA
Quercus robur (English oak) is the source of this 535-nucleotide long non-coding RNA. RefSeq lists it as uncharacterized. The transcript has 3 exons. NCBI's taxonomy places the organism in Eukaryota, Viridiplantae, Streptophyta, Magnoliopsida, Fagales, Fagaceae. The record is from RefSeq and is a predicted model, not a curated record.